AGGGGAGGAAAAAAGAAAAGAAAAAGUAGAAGUAGAUUUUUUUUAAAUUUUUUUAUUUAAUUUAAAACCAUCCUUCCUUUUCCUCCUACAAUCUCGUGGUUGCGUGCCAAUCUUAUGGAGCUUUAUGGUUCGUCGCCGCCACCUCCCAACAUCCCUCCCUCCGAUUUUCCCUCCUGAUUCUCUAUCCCAACCCUAAUUCUGCCCAGUUCUCCUUCCCGCAGCCAUGUUUCCCUGGCGGAACUUUGCCAAAUCCGCCGAGGCCACCUUCUCGCGGUGGGCCCUCAAGAGGGUUUGCAAGUUCUUCCUCAAGAAGAAACUUGGCCAGUUCAUUCUCGGCGACCUCGACCUCGACCAGCUCGACGUCCAACUCUCCGAGGGAACCAUUCAGCUCUCCGAUCUCGCUCUCAAUGUCGAUUUCGUCAACACCAAGUUUGGUAAGAAAUCAUCCAUAAUGAUCAAAGAAGGUUCAAUUGGCUACCUGUUGAUUAAAAUGCCUUGGAGUGGUAAAGGUUGUGAGGUUGAAGUGAAUGGGCUUGAAUUAGUAGUUUCUCCAUGCUUAGAUAAAAUGUCAACAAGUGAAGAUGAAACAUGUGGCAUGGAUAAUAGUAAUAACCAUCACCAUGGAUACAGCUCAACGAGGACUGAACACGGAAUAUCAGAUGAUGCUGAGAAGUUGGCUUCAAUGGAUGUUCACGAAGGUGUGAAAACCAUUGCAAAAAUGAUAAAGUGGUUGCUCACAAGCUUCCAUGUUACAGUAACAAAUGUAAUUGUUGCAUUUGAUCCAUCUGUAGAUAAUGUAGAAAAUAAGACACAUUGUCAUCAUACCUUAGUUCUUCAGAUUUCUGAAAUACAAUGCGGAACUAGUCUGUCUGAAGAUGCUGAUUUGAAUGUUGAUGUCCUUGGCAUAAGCCAGCUAACAAACUUUGUAAAGUUUCAUGGAGCAGUUAUUGAGCUUCUCCAAAUAGAUAAUGAGGAUUUCUACUUUCAGCAUGAAUCAAGUGCAGGAUGUGAUGAACCUGUUUUGGGGUCAAAUAUAGCAACAUGUCCAGUCAUGACCGGGAACAAAGGUGGAUUUAGUGGAAGUAUAAAAUUAAGUAUUCCUUGGAAGAAUGGCUCCUUGGACAUUUGCAAGGUGGAUGCAGUUGCUCAUGUUGAUCCCAUAGUGUUAAGAUUUCAGCCCAGCUCUAUUAAAUGGCUAUUGCAAUCAUGGGAAACUCUUAAGAAUCUGAAUAAGAAUGGAAAAGGUUGCACAAAUCACAAUGUAAGAGGAUCUGCCCAGUUAAAUUCUACAUUGUUACGGCAUUCAUCAACUUCAGUUUCUAUUGGCAGUGCUUCCAGUGAGAUUAUAACUGCCGAUGGCAGUUUGUCAGCUGAAUAUGCUUCUUUGAUCCAACCUGAAACCCUUGCUGAAGAUUUACUUCCUGCAGCUAAUGUUAUAUCUGAUUGGGUACCAUUAUCUACUCAUACCAGUCACAAUAAGGAUGGUAUUCAAGAACUUGAUUUUGGGGCAAGUGUGGACCAGUUUUUUGAAUGUUUUGAUGGAAUGAGAAAUUCUCAAUCAGCUUUAGGAAACAGUGGAAUGUGGAAUUGGACAUAUUCAGUUUUUAGUGCUAUUACUGCUGCAUCCAGCCUUGCUUCUGGAUCUUUGCAUAUUCCAUCUGAACAGCAACAUAUGGAAACCAAUUUCAGCGCAACUUUUGCUGGAGUAUCUGUUGUUUUGUCUUGCUGUGUUGAUGAACAGAAGAAAUUUUCUGACACUGAAAUUGGUCACAAGGAUGGGUUACAAAUUGAUUAUCUUGGUGCAGAGUGCAACAACAUCGUUUUUGCUUUGCAGGUAUGCCCUCAAGGCAUGACUCUAGAUGCAAAGGUGAGGCAUAUAGAAGUUGCUAAUUUUUGGAACAUUGGAGUUGAUGCUAAAAAUCAAACUGCUUUGGUUCAACACCUACAAGCUAAGGUCCUCGAUGCUCUCCCUUCUUCUACCUGUUACAAUAUAGAUUCACAUUCAUUAAUUGGGUCUGUUGCGACAGAUUUUCCAUUUGGAAACAAUGAUUGUUUGUUGAAAGUUACACUGUUUAGAACUUUUGGUGUCAUGAAUUGCAAAUUCUCUGUGCAAUCAAGUUCAUCUGAUGGUUGUCUCAUAGGAAACACAUCAUUCUCACUGAGCUUGCCCCCGUUUAGUUUUUGGGUAAUCUUUUCAGUAAUUAAUGUGCUCAUGAAUCUGCUAAAAGAAGUUGAGAAAUCACUUGGGAUGCAUAACAAAGAAAAGGAAAUUCUAUCUGAAGCCUUAGAUAUCAAGUGUGCACCAUCUCAGAGUAAUAUGAAGGAAGGUUCUAGUCCCUGUGUGAUAUCUUUCUCCCCAACACAGUGCUUGCAUGGUGAUAUAUCAAUAUCUAAUGCAAGAGUGAUAUUGUGUUUUCCUUUUGAAAGGGAUGGAGAUCAUAACAAUUCAUUUCCCUGGGAACAGUUCAUUGCUCUUGAUUUUACUUCAUCAUCACCUUUGAACAAUGGAUGUGCUCCAGUUUAUAGUCAAAGUUCAAAUGCAAGUUCGAAGAAAAGAUUUCCUUCAGUAUCUGCUCAAUCUCUUCAAUUGAGUUUCUGUGAUCUUGACAUCUACUUGAUCACAUCAAGUAAUGAGAAUGGUGGAAUCAUCUCCUAUGAUGUGCAGAAUGAGAAAUUUUCUGCUAGCUGCUUCUUUUCUAUUUUUCAUAGAAGAGGAUGUUUCUCUGUUUUUCGUGUUGUUUUGCAAGAGGGUAAAGUUACUGGUCCUUGGAUUGCUAAGAAAGCCAGAUUAUUUGCUAAUUCAGAGCAAACUAGGGGCAAAGAGGACACUGGAAGAAGGGGGGACGAGUUUGUGUCUGUAUCAACAGUGAAAGAUCUGGAAGAAUGGAAGUCUCAAACUCAACAAGAGAUGAUUUUAAGCUCAUCCUUUCUCAUACAUGUCCAUCUAUCUCAACUUGUGAUUAAUAUGAAUUAUUCUCAAUAUAAAGGCAUACAUCAUCUUCUACAUCAGACACUGAAUGCAUUGACAUGUGCGGCUUCUAAGCAAGCCAAUGUUGAAAAGGAAUCUUCUGUGUCACAAUCAUCAGUAUUUUUGGAAUGUGAUUCUCUUGAAAUUCUUAUUGAUAGGGAUACAUCUGAGAGAACCAAAAGUUCAAUCAAGAGUGAACUUCCUGGAAUUUGGUGUCAGUUCAGGCUGAAGGUUCAACAGUUUGAGGUGCUAUCGGUCACCAAUACUGGUGGCAUUAAGGCUGCAAAUUUCUUCCGGUUAGCUCAUGGUGAAGGCAAGUUGUGGGGGUCUGUCACUGGACUUCCUGAUCAUGAGUUUCUUCUGAUUACUUGUAGCAACUCCGUUGUGAAAAGAGGUGAUGGAGGAGGUUCUAAUACAUUAUCUUCCAAAUUUGCUGGUUCUGAAGUAAUUUGUCUCUCUGAUCCUGAGAUUUCCGUCGCUGUGACAUCCAUUACGGUCAGCUGUGGUACGGUUAUUGCUGUAGGUGGUCGUUUGGAUUGGUUUAAUGCAAUUUCAUCCUUUUUCUGUUUGCCUGCUUCUAAUACCGAAGGUAUAGGAGAUCAUAGUGUUUUAAAGGAGGAACAUAAUAACUCUCACACAACUUAUUUUGCUUUGUGCUUGAUCGAUAUUGCUUUAAGCUAUGAGCCUUAUCUGAAGAAUCCUGCAGUUCAGAGUGAACUGAAUUCAGAGUCUAGCUGUUCAUUUAUCAAAGAAGAUAUGAGUGAACAAUGUGUUUCCUGUUUGUUGGCCGCAUCCAGCUUAACUCUUUCAAAUUCAUCUUCAGCGGACACAGUUGAAAAUGUUUUCCAAAUUCGAGUGCAUGACUUGGGGCUUCUACUUCAUUUAAUUUCGGAACUGAAUUCUAUGUCUGACAUUUAUAGUGUUGAACAUCUUCAAAAAUCUGGUUAUGUUAAAGUUUCUCAGGAGGCUUUUAUGGAGGCAAUUUUGAAAACAAACUGUACUAGCAGUCUUCUUUGGGAACUGGAAUUAUCUAAAUCUCAUGUUAAUUUGGAAACUUGCUAUGACACGACUGCUGGUCUGAUUCGUUUGGCUGCCCAACUUCAGCAAUUAUUUGCUCCUGACGUGGAGGAAUCUAUCGUGCAUUUGCAGAAUAGGUGGCAUAAUGUUCAAAAGGCACAGCAAAGGAACGAAUUAAAAAUUGAAAACAAGAAUUGCAGAUUUGACUCAAUGUCUGCAAUAUCUGAACAAUGCUCCCCUCAUACAUUUUCAAUGGAUGGAUCUAGAAUAGCUGGCUGGAUGGAUGAAAUAUGUGAAGAUGCAUUUAAAGUAAACAACAAUAAUACACCCCAAUCUUAUCCUUUUGAAUCAGGGAUUCCACUUGACGGAAGCUUAAUUGAAGUUGGUCAGAUGAAUUUGCAUAAGCCUGAAGUUCUUUCUCAUGAACUAACUUUGACUGAGCCAGUGAGUGUGCCUGGACCUGAAGGUAGUGAUACUUCAUUUCUGCAAGAGGGUUGUUUUCCAGAGAUUAUAGAAAGCUAUUGUUUGUCUGACUUGCGCCCUCUCUCAGAGCUAUCUUUAGGUAUUCAUUGUGAUGAGCUUUCUAGACACAAACUGAGGAAUGUGGAACAUAAAGAGAUUGAAAGAGGAAGUGGUAGAUGGUAUGGAGGAACCUCUCUGAAAGUAUUAGAAAACCACAUUGCAGAGGAAAACAAACAACCUGGAAUGAAAAAGGCUGUAGAUCAUCAAGGCAUGCUUUCAUCUGAUGAUAGUUCAACACAUGGUGAGACUUGUGGACGUGUAAUUCUUAAGAAAAUUGAUAUAAGAUGGAGAAUGUAUGGUGGUUCUGACUGGCUUGACCCUGAGAAAAGUGGGCAGCAUUCUGGGAGAGACACAUCUAUUUGCAUGGAACUUGCAUUGUCUGGGUUGAAAUUUCAGUAUGAUAUAUAUCCAGUUGGUGGACUACAUGUAUCUAAGAUGUCUGUGUCUGUUAAAGAUUUUUAUCUGUAUGACAGAAGCCAUGAUGCACCUUGGAAACUGGUAUUAGGAUAUUAUCACUCAAAAGGUCAUCCUAGGGAAUCAUUUUCGAAAGCAUUUAAAUUGGACUUGGAUGCAGUUAGACCAGAUCCUCUUACUCCCCUCGAGGAGUACAGGUUAAAUGUUACUAUUUUACCUCUGCUUUUACAUCUCCAUCAGCGCCAGCUUGAUUUUUUUGUUGACUUCUUUGGGAGAAAAAACACAUUGAAGGGUCAGUUUCCUAAUAGUUCUCAAGAUUUGGAGGGUUCAAAAUCAUUGCUUGAGAAGACUAAGCAAGAUAAAGGUCAUGUAUUUCAUUCAGUUGCACCAGAGGCACUGCUUCCCUACUUCCAGAAGCUAGAUAUAUGGCCUAUUCUUGUUCGGGUGGAUUACAGUCCAACUCAUGUAGAUCUAGCAGCCUUAAGGAAUGGAAAGUAUGUAGAGCUUGUAAAUCUUGUCCCUUGGAAGGGGAUUGAGCUUAACCUCAAACAUGUUCAUGCCUCUGGCGUCUACGGUUGGGCCAGUGUAUGUGAAACUGCUGUAGGGGAUUGGUUGGAAGAUAUAUCUCAGAAUCAGAUUCAUAAAAUACUCCGGGGUCUUCCUACUGUACGAUCAUUGAUUGCAGUUGGGGCUGGUGCUGCUAAGCUGGUUUCAUCACCAGUAGAGAGCUACAAGAAGGAGCGGAGAGUGCUCAAGGGUGUGCAGAGGGGUACAAUUGCAUUUCUUCGAAGUAUUUCUCUUGAAGCUGUGGGACUUGGUGUUCAUCUAGCUGCGGGAGCCCACGACAUUCUCCUCCAAGCAGAGUAUAUUCUUUCAAGCAUACCUUCUCCAGUUCCACUGCCUGUAAAAGACAAAAUAAAAACAGAUGUUAGAUCCAAUCAACCUAAAGAUGCCCAAGAAGGAAUUCAACAGGCUUAUGAGAGCCUUAGUGAUGGCUUGGGAAAAUCUGCUGCCGUGUUAGUUCAGAGUCCCUUAAAAAAAUUUCAGCGAGGUUCAGGUGCUGGACCUGCUUUGGCUGCUGCUGUUCGAGCUGUUCCUGCUGCUGCUAUAGCCCCCGCUUCAGCUUGUGCAAGUGCUGUACACUGUGCUCUUCUUGGAUUCAGAAAUAGCCUAGAUCCAGAACGUAAAAAGGAGUCCAUGGAGAAAUAUUGUCCAGCACAACCCUGGGAAGAAGACUGAUUAAUGAUUCAGAAGUGUUUUUCUUUAAUUUGCUGGAUAGUCUCUUGUGUAUCAUAUCUAGAGUUACAGAACCAGUCAGAUGAUUCUUUUCUAUCAGAGAUUCUGAGUAACCUGCAUAUGCUGUAAAUAUGGAUGGUGCUUGUUAAUCUUAUUCAAACGGUUGUCAUUAUAGGUACUACGAGUGUAAGAUUUCUAUUAUUUCUUGCGAUGCUAGAAGGGCCUAUUUUGAUCUUUGGUUUCAAAUUCUUUACAACAAAAGUCAUGCUUUUGCUAGAAAGGUCUGUGCAGAAGAGCUGUGUUCCUUGGUGAACUUUUACAAUGUUGGGAUAUAAUCGAGCAGGAUACAGAUCUAUGCUAUAUGAUGUAUGGGGAUUUAGAUUCUGAAAUGUUUGAAAGUUGAGGUUUAAGGGUUAACGAAGGGAGGACAGGUUUCUCUUUUUUAAUAAAUAUUCUAUAGUUUAAUAAUUUAUAAAGUAAAAGUAAACUG
Molecule: RNA transcript, 6647 nt
Organism: Vigna radiata var. radiata (mung bean)
Lineage: Eukaryota; Viridiplantae; Streptophyta; Magnoliopsida; Fabales; Fabaceae
Gene name: autophagy-related protein 2
Exons: 16
Source: RefSeq, a predicted model, not a curated record